RNAcentral lists this ribosomal RNA (1349 nucleotides) under human gut metagenome. Its description in RNAcentral is "bacterial LSU rRNA". It matches the Rfam family "Bacterial large subunit ribosomal RNA", at positions 1116 to 2483 of the family's 2925-position model. The record is from RNAcentral.
CACUCAUUUAAAGAGUGCGUAAUAGCUCACUGGUCGAGUGAUCCUGCGCCGAAAAUUUCCGGGGCUAAAACGUACUACCGAAGCUACGGCAUCAUUUAUGAUGGGUAGGGGAGCUUCGUAUGCAGGCUGAAGCAUGACCGUAAGGACAUGUGGACAGUAUACGAGUGAGAAUGUUGGCAUGAGUAGCGAGACGUGGGUGAGAAUCCCACGGGCCGUAAACCCAAGGUUUCCAGGGGAAGGUUCGUCCGCCCUGGGUUAGUCGGGACCUAAGCCGAGGCCGAAAGGCGUAGGUGAUGGACAACAGGUUGAUAUUCCUGUACCGCCAAUAAGCGUUUGAGAGAUGGAGUGACACAGUAGGAUAAGCUAACCGUACUGUUGGUUAUGUACGGCUAAGCAUUGAGGCAGUCUAAAUAGGCAAAUCCGUUUAGACAAUGCUAGGAUGUGAUGGGGAAGCCCUUCGGGGCGAAGUAGCUGAUUUCACACUGUCAAGAAAAGCUUCUAUCGAGUUUAAAGGCGCCCGUACCGUAAACCGACACAGGUGGGUGAGGAGAGUAUCCUAAGGCCAGCGAGAGAACUAUUGUUAAGGAACUCGGCAAAAUGACCCCGUAACUUAGGGAGAAGGGGUGCCUGUCUAUGACAGGCCGCAGAGAAUAGGCCCAAGCGACUGUUUACCAAAAACACAGGUUUCUGCUAAGUCGCAAGACGAUGUAUAGGAGCUGACGCCUGCCCGGUGCUGGAAGGUUAAGGGGAUCUGUUAGAGCAAUCGAAGCAGUGAACUUAAGCCCCAGUAAACGGCGGCCGUAACUAUAACGGUCCUAAGGUAGCGAAAUUCCUUGUCGGGUAAGUUCCGACCCGCACGAAAGGCGUAACGAUUUGGGCACUGUCUCAACAAUAGACUCGGUGAAAUUGUAAUCCCGGUGAAGAUGCCGGGUACCUGCGACAGGACGGAAAGACCCCAUGGAGCUUUACUGUAGCUUGACGUUGGGUCUUGGUACUACAUGUACAGGAUAGGUGGGAGACUAUGAAGCAUGGACGCCAGUCUGUGUGGAGUCAUCCUUGGGAUACCACCCUUGUAGUACUGGGAUCCUAACCAUAGGCCUUGAAUCAGGUCUUGGAACACCGUCAGGUGGGCAGUUUGACUGGGGCGGUCGCCUCCUAAAAAGUAACGGAGGCGCUCAAAGGUUUCCUCAGCACGGUCGGAAAUCGUGCGAAGAGUGUAAAGGCAAAAGGAAGCUUGAUUGCAAGACAUACAGGUCGAGCAAGGACGAAAGUCGGACUUAGUGAUCCGGUGGUACCGCAUGGAAGGGCCAUCGCUCAACGGAUAAAAGCUACCCUGGGGAUAACAGGCU